RNAcentral lists this ribosomal RNA (861 nucleotides) under Triticum aestivum (bread wheat). Its description in RNAcentral is "partial small subunit ribosomal RNA". The record is from RNAcentral. Lineage: Eukaryota; Viridiplantae; Streptophyta; Magnoliopsida; Poales; Poaceae.
AUGGCAGAAUGCUUCAAUAAGGUGCUCAAGGGUGUACAUGCAUUACCCGUGACGGCAAUAGUUCAAUACACAUUUGACAAGAUGAAUUGGUACUUUUUAAAGUACUCAAUGGAGACGGAUAAGCAGAUUACUGGUGAGAACAAGGAUAAGCACAAGUACUAUUUCCCACCAAAGGUUGAAGAAUGGUUGGACUUUCAAUCACGAAAGGCAGACUCCCAAGAAGCUGUAUAUGACGACAACGAGUGGAAGUAUGAGGUGAAAGAGCCUGGAGGAACCACAAACGAUGUCCACCAACACGGAGGUCGCGCUUUCAAGGUCUCCCUAACACGGUGUGAUUGGAGCUGCAUGAGGCCAUCGUUGCUUCAUCUCCCAUGCUCGCACUUGUUAAACGCAUCCCGUGUUAGGAAUGUGGAUGUCAACCACCCUCUUACCGUGAGGGAGUCCGAGUUCUCAAUCAUGACGAUAAAGAAUACAUGGGCUCCCCGGUUUCAGCCAUACUUGGACCAAUCACAAUGGCCGGAGUAUCAUGGAGUUCAACUAUGGCCGGACCCGGAAUUGAAGGUCGUUAGAUGGGGAAGACGUAAGAAAAAGCAUCUUAGAGGUGACAUGGACGGAUGGGGCCAUGGUGGCGGUGGAGAAUACGGCACCGGCCAAUUCCAAGAGCCUCGCGAGCAAUCCCAUUGUGGGGACUGCAGUCAUCGGGGACACAACACAAGAACUUGUCCAAACCAAGAAAAAGAUCAAAGAAAAAUGAUGCAAGCACAAGCCAAGCAAAUGAUAGCCAACCAAGUCAACCAAGGAGUAGCCAACCAAGUCAAACAAGCCAACGAGGAACUAGGCAACAAAGAGAGAGUCAACUAG